CAUUCUCUGAGGUUCAGCUAUACUGUUUUCAGGGGGGUUAAAGUUGGUUUCUUCCAUUCUUGUCCACACGGUGGGGAUACACCAUUUUUAUUGUAAUUCUCAAGUCAUAUACAAGUCUGUACAUAUUGUAUAUUGCACAAAAGGAAAAACAGCAUAUGAUAACCCGAUACCAUAACCAUUUUUGAAACGCCAUGAACUUUUAUCACGCGACACUUACCUAAUUACCUUCUCCAAUUAACCUCUUUAAUUACCCCCCACAGGAAAGCACGUUGCAGCCACCAGCCUCCCCAAGUUCACCAUCACGGAUGACCUUGCCGC
Molecule: long non-coding RNA, 318 nt
Filed under: Elaeis guineensis (African oil palm)
Lineage: Eukaryota; Viridiplantae; Streptophyta; Magnoliopsida; Arecales; Arecaceae
Description: long non-coding RNA (EGUI_LNC013760)
Source: RNAcentral